GUACACUCUACGGGAGGCAGCAGUGGGGAAUAUUGCACAAUGGGCGCAAGCCUGAUGCAGCCAUGCCGCGUGUAUGAAGAAGGCCUUCGGGUUGUAAAGUACUUUCAGCGGGGAGGAAGGCGAUAAGGUUAAUAACCUUGUUGAUUGACGUUACCCGCAGAAGAAGCACCGGCUAACUCCGUGCCAGCAGCCGCGGUAAUACGGAGGGUGCAAGCGUUAAUCGGAAUUACUGGGCGUAAAGCGCACGCAGGCGGUCUGUCAAGUCGGAUGUGAAAUCCCCGGGCUCAACCUGGGAACUGCAUUCGAAACUGGCAGGCUAGAGUCUUGUAGAGGGGGGUAGAAUUCCAGGUGUAGCGGUGAAAUGCGUAGAGAUCUGGAGGAAUACCGGUGGCGAAGGCGGCCCCCUGGACAAAGACUGACGCUCAGGUGCGAAAGCGUGGGGAGCAAACAGGAUUAGAUACCCGGGUAGUCCCAUG
RNAcentral lists this ribosomal RNA (476 nucleotides) under uncultured organism. RNAcentral describes it as "partial 16S ribosomal RNA". It matches the Rfam family "Bacterial small subunit ribosomal RNA", at positions 331 to 799 of the family's 1533-position model. The record is from RNAcentral.